This 253-nucleotide ribosomal RNA is filed under the name uncultured bacterium. RNAcentral's name for it is "partial 16S ribosomal RNA". It matches the Rfam family "Bacterial small subunit ribosomal RNA", at positions 524 to 776 of the family's 1533-position model. The record is from RNAcentral.
UACGUAGGGGGCAAGCGUUGUCCGGAAUCAUUGGGCGUAAAGCGCGUGUAGGCGGGUCGGUAAGUCCGCUCUGAAAGCCCGGGGCUCAACCCCGGGAGGCGGGUGGAUACUGUCGACCUCGAGUCCGGAAGAGGCGAGUGGAAUUCCUGGUGUAGCGGUGGAAUGCGCAGAUAUCAGGAGGAACACCAAUGGCGAAGGCAGCUCGCUGGGACGGUACUGACGCUGAGACGCGAAAGCGUGGGGAGCAAACAGG